AACGAACGCUGGCGGCAGGCCUAACACAUGCAAGUCGAGCGGACCUUUCGGGGUCAGCGGCGGACGGGUGAGUAACGCGUGGGAAUAUGCCCUUCUCUACGGAAUAGUCCUGGGAAACUGGGGGUAAUACCGUAUACGCCCUUUGGGGGAAAGAUUUAUCGGGGAAGGAUUAGCCCGCGUAGGAUUAGGUAGUUGGUGGGGUAAUGGCCUACCAAGCCGACGAUCCAUAGCUGGUUUGAGAGGAUGAUCAGCCACACUGGGACUGAGACACGGCCCAGACUCCUACGGGAGGCAGCAGUGGGGAAUCUUAGACAAUGGGGGCAACCCUGAUCUAGCCAUGCCGCGUGAGUGAUGAAGGCCUUAGGGUUGUAAAGCUCUUUCAGCUGGGAAGAUAAUGACGGUACCAGCAGAAGAAGCCCCGGCUAACUCCGUG
Molecule: ribosomal RNA, 433 nt
Filed under: uncultured bacterium
Lineage: Bacteria
Description: partial 16S ribosomal RNA
Rfam family: Bacterial small subunit ribosomal RNA
Source: RNAcentral